AUCCCCUGAGUAUACAAGUACAGAUAACUUCCACUUAUCAAGCCUUAGCCAGCUCUAAGAGGGGGUA
This 67-nucleotide transfer RNA is filed under the name Teratoscincus roborowskii. RNAcentral describes it as "tRNA-Gly". Lineage: Eukaryota; Metazoa; Chordata; Lepidosauria; Squamata; Sphaerodactylidae. The record is from RNAcentral.